UACGUAGGGGGCAAGCAUUGUCCGGAAUCAUUGGGCGUAAAGCGCGUGUAGGCGGCCUUGUAAGUCCGUUCUGAAAGCCCGGGGCUCAACCCCGGGAGGCGGAUGGAUACUGCAAGGCUCGAGUACGGAAGAGGCGAGUGGAAUUCCCGGUGUAGCGGUGAAAUGCGCAGAUAUCGGGAGGAACACCAAUGGCGAAGGCAGCUCGCUGGGACGUUACUGACGCUGAGACGCGAAAGCGUGGGGAGCAAACAGG
RNAcentral lists this ribosomal RNA (253 nucleotides) under uncultured bacterium. RNAcentral describes it as "partial 16S ribosomal RNA". It matches the Rfam family "Bacterial small subunit ribosomal RNA", at positions 524 to 776 of the family's 1533-position model. The record is from RNAcentral.